UGCCUCAGUAACGGCGAGUGAAGCGGCAACAGCUCAAAUUUGAAAUCUGGCCCUAGGCCCGAGUUGUAAUUUGCAGAGGAUGCUUUUGGUGCGGUGCCUUCCAAGUUCCCUAGAACGGGACGCCAGAGAGGGUGAGAGCCCCGUACAGUUGGACACCAAGCCUUUGUAAAGCUCCUUCGACGAGUCGAGUAGUUUGGGAAUGCUGCUCAAAAUGGGAGGUAUAUUUCUUCUAAAGCUAAAUACCGGCCAGAGACCGAUAGCGCACAAGUAGAGUGAUCGAAAGAUGAAAAGCACUUUGAAAAGAGGGUUAAACAGCACGUGAAAUUGUUAAAAGGGAAGCGCUUGUGACCAGACUUGCGUCCGGUGAAUCACCCAGCUCUCGCGGCUGGGGCACUUCGCCGGCUCAGGCCAGCAUCAGCUCGCUGUCGGGGACAAAAGCUUCAGGAACGUAGCUCUCUUCGGGGAGUGUUAUAGCCUGUUGCAUAAUACCCUUCGGCGGGCUGAGGUACGCGCUCCGCAAGGAUGCUGGCAUAAUGGUCAUCAGCGACCCGUCUUGAAACACGGACCAAGGAGUCAACCUUAUGUGCGAGUGUUCGGGUGUCAAACCCCUACGCGUAAUGAAAGUGAACGCAGGUGAGAGCUUCGGCGCAUCAUCGACCGAUCCUGAUGUUCUCGGAUGGAUUUGAGUAAGAGCAUAUAGGGUUGGACCCGAAAGAAGGUGAACUAUGCGUGUAUAGGGUGAAGCCAGAGGAAACUCUGGUGGAGGCUCGCAGCGGUUCUGACGUGCAAAUCGAUCGUCAAAUAUGCGCAUGGGGGCGAA
RNAcentral lists this ribosomal RNA (820 nucleotides) under Colletotrichum sp. ETHCTR032. RNAcentral describes it as "eukaryotic LSU rRNA". It matches the Rfam family "Eukaryotic large subunit ribosomal RNA", at positions 76 to 927 of the family's 3401-position model. The record is from RNAcentral. Lineage: Eukaryota; Fungi; Ascomycota; Sordariomycetes; Glomerellales; Glomerellaceae.